Molecule: non-coding RNA, 3244 nt
Organism: Paramuricea clavata
Lineage: Eukaryota; Metazoa; Cnidaria; Anthozoa; Malacalcyonacea; Plexauridae
Source: the annotation of a GenBank genome assembly
CAAUACACUGUUCACUGAACUAAAGUUUAAGAUUAAGUUGAACGGAUUAAGAUUAUCCGGAUUAAGAUUAUCCAGAUUAAAUUGGACGGUUUAUACCCCCGUGCAUUAUGCAAUUUUUGCUAUCCAUUACGCAAUUUUUAAACGAUAUUGAUGAAAAAAAAAUCCCUGGGCAAGGACAUUUGCCACCUAAUGGUUUUGCGGGGGGGGGGGCGUACAUUAUCCUCCUGCUGCUGCGCCACACACAGCCGGGAAUUUUCCCUUUCUUCCCAAAAAAAUGCUAACGCCAGAGGGGGGAUGAUCACUCAUGGAAUGGAUGAUUCUCCUUAUUACGUUUUCGUAGCGCUUUGCAUUGUGCUUAUAGUGGUAUCACCAAUAAAGAUAGCGGCCUCGAAUGAGAAUAUUGAAUGUUUUCGCGAACAUUUUGCUGUUGGAUAUCGUGCACCUGACCCUAGCUUUUUUAAAAGUUCUUGCACGGGUGGGGACAAAAAUAAGCCAUCUUGAAUAUCAGUGAUACCACUAUAACCACAAUGCAAAGCGCUACGAAAAUUUAAUAAGGGGAAUCAUGUUUUGACUCAUGCAUAACAAGUUUAAAGAGACAAUCCGAAAACAAGUUAAAUAUUUUCAAUUUAUGUUGCUAGUCUAGUGGGGCAGCACAUUGUCAUGCAUACUCAUAUGAUCUUCAAGUUCAGGGGCAAUUUCAAACUCGGCAUCGCAGACACAACAGAUAUAACCAAUACCAGUUGCUUCUCUUGCUUCUAAUUCCUUACAGACAUCACAUUGGUAGGACGUACCAUGGUCUUUGGCCUUGUGCUGAUAUAAACUUUCAAUAUCCGGGAACAGUUUGUUGCAUUUUUCACAGAGAAAAUGAGCAUCACUCAGUAUCUCAACAGCAUGUCCUUGACCUUGAAUAAUUUCUUUGCCACAGGUGUGGCACAAUAAUAAGCCAUCUCUCAAGUGUGAUCUCCAGUGACGUUUGAAACUUUGUCGUUUUGUGAAUGUUUUCUUGCAGAUACCAAACCCAAAACUCUGGUUUCUCUUGUGAGCUGAUGUUUUAUGUUGUGUUAAAUUGCGUGAUUCUGAAAAUCUCUUGUUGCAAAUGUCACAUUGGUAAGGUUUGUCUCUAGUGUGUCUCCUUUUAUGUCUAGUUAAUUGGCUCGAACAUGAAAAUCUCUUCUUACAAACGACACAUUCAUAAGGUUUGUCUCCAGUGUGUGUUCUCUUAUGAACCACUAAGUAGCCUGAUUGCAAAAAUUGUUUGUUGCAAAAAUCACAUUCAUAAGGUUUCUCUCUAGUAUGCGUUCUUUUAUGUCUGACUAAGGUGCUCGACCGUGAAAAUUGUUUGUUGCAAACAUCACAUUCAUAAGGUUUCUCUCCAGUGUGUGUUCUCUUAUGUUUAGUUAGGGUGCUUGGGUCAGGAAAUCUUUUGUUGCAAACAUCACAUUCAUCAGGUUUCUCUCUAGUAUGCAUUCUUUUAUGUCUGACUAAUGUGCUCGACCGUGAAAAUUGUUUGUUGCAAACGUCACAUUCAUAAGGUUUCUCUCCAGUGUGUGUUCUCUUAUGUUUAGUUAGGUUGCUUGGGUCAGAAAAUCUUUUGUUGCAAACAUCACAUUCAUAAGGUUUCUCUCCAGUGUGUGUUCUCUUAUGUUUAGUUAGGGUGCUUGGGUCAGAAAAUCUUUUGUUGCAAACAUCACAUUCAUAAGGAUUCUCUCCAUUGUGUGUUCUCUUAUGUUUAGUUAGGGUGCUUGGGUCAGAAAAUCUAUUGUUGCAAACAUCACAUUCAUAAGGUUUCUCUCCUGUGUGUGUUCUCUUAUGUCUAACUAAGGUGCCUAACUGUGUAAAUUGUUUGUUGCAAACAUCACAUUCAUAAGGUUUCUCUCCAGUGUGUGUUCUCUCAUGUCUAGUUAGGGUGCUUCGGUCAGAAAAUCUAUUGUUGCAAACAUCACAUUCAUAAGGUUUGUUCCCAGUGUGUGUUCUUUUAUGUCUAGCUAAGUUGCUUGACUGCAAAAAUCUUUUGUUGCAAACAUCACAUUCAUAAGGUUUGUCUCCAGUGUGUGUUCUUUCAUGUCUAGUUAGGGUGCUUGGGUCAGAAAAUCUAUUGUUGCAAACAUCACAUUCAUAAGGUUUGUUCCCAGUGUGUGUUCUUUUAUGUCUAGCUAAGUUGCUUGACUGCAAAAAUCUUUUGUUGCAAACAUCACAUUCAUAAGGUUUGUCUCCAGUGUGUGUUCUUUCAUGUCUAGUUAGGGUGCUUGGGUCAGAAAAUCUAUUGUUGCAAACAUCACAUUCAUAAGGUUUGUUCCCAGUGUGUGUUCUUUUAUGUCUAGCUAAGUUGCUUGACUGCAAAAAUCUUUUGUUGCAAACAUCACAUUCAUAAGGUUUGUCUCCAGUGUGUGUUCUUUCAUGUCUAGUUAGGGUGCUUGGGUCAGAAAAUCUAUUGUUGCAAACAUCACAUUCAUAAGGUUUGUUCCCAGUGUGUGUUCUUUUAUGUCUAGCUAAGUUGCUUGACUGCAAAAAUCUUUUGUUGCAAACAUCACAUUCAUAAGGUUUGUCUCCAGUGUGUGUUCUUUCAUGUCUAGUUAGGGUGCUUGGGUCAGAAAAUCUAUUGUUGCAAACAUCACAUUCAUAAGGUUUGUUCCCAGUGUGUGUUCUUUUAUGUCUAGCUAAGUUGCUUGACUGCAAAAAUCUUUUGUUGCAAACAUCACAUUCAUAAGGUUUGUCUCCAGUGUGUGUUCUUUCAUGUCUAGUUAGGGUGCUUGGGUCAGAAAAUCUAUUGUUGCAAACAUCACAUUCAUAAGGUUUGUUCCCAGUGUGUGUUCUUUUAUGUCUAGCUAAGUUGCUUGACUGCAAAAAUCUUUUGUUGCAAACAUCACAUUCAUAAGGUCUGUCUCCAGUGUGUGUUCUUUCAUGUCUAGUCCUAGUGCUUGGGUCAGAAAAUCUUUUGUUGCAAACACCACAUUCAUAAGGUUUGUCUCCAGUGUGUGUUCUUUUAGGUCUCACUAAAUUUCCUUCCUUUGAAAAUACCUUGUUACAAACAUCAUCACAUUUGCUAGACAUGGUUUCAGCUUUUGAUCUUUUCCUCGUACAGUCACACCUGCGGUCAAAUUUCGAUUAAAAAUAUCACCCAACUGUUCCCUCGAGUCUUUCUUUACUGAAUCUUUAUAAUACUUCGGUUCUUACAGAAAUUCUGAUCAUAAAAACGAGAGUAUUCUAAGACACAGUUCACAAACAACACGUGUAUCAAAAUAUG